Long non-coding RNA from Melitaea cinxia (Glanville fritillary), 235 nucleotides. RefSeq lists it as uncharacterized. NCBI's taxonomy places the organism in Eukaryota, Metazoa, Arthropoda, Insecta, Lepidoptera, Nymphalidae. The transcript has 2 exons. The record is from RefSeq and is a predicted model, not a curated record.
GAACGCGCACUUGGCCGCCUUCGUGCCGCUGUGGCACGGGCCCUCCUGCGGGUCGGGUGCGGAACGAGCUAUGACACUAGGUUUAUGGCGACUGGUGGUAGCAAGCAGUGAUCCGUCGCGGUUGAAGGACAUGCAGUAGAUAACGUCACUGUGACAGUCGAUCACCUUCACAGCUUCUCCCUUGCCCACAUCCCAAACGAAAAUCUAAAAAAACCAAUAAACGUUAAUACAUUCA